Molecule: ribosomal RNA, 2632 nt
Filed under: Escherichia coli
Lineage: Bacteria; Pseudomonadati; Pseudomonadota; Gammaproteobacteria; Enterobacterales; Enterobacteriaceae
Description: partial 23S ribosomal RNA
Rfam family: Bacterial large subunit ribosomal RNA
Source: RNAcentral
GGGUUGUGAGGUUAAGCGACUAAGCGUACACGGUGGAUGCCCUGGCAGUCAGAGGCGAUGAAGGACGUGCUAAUCUGCGAUAAGCGUCGGUGAGGUGAUAUGAACCGUUAUAACCGGCGAUUUCCGAAUGGGGAAACCCAGUGUGAUUCGUCACACUAUCAUUAACUGAAUCCAUAGGUUAAUGAGGCGAACCGGGGGAACUGAAACAUCUAAGUACCCCGAGGAAAAGAAAUCAACCGAGAUUCCCCCAGUAGCGGCGAGCGAACGGGGAGGAGCCCAGAGCCUGAAUCAGUGUGUGUGUUAGUGGAAGCGUCUGGAAAGGCGCGCGAUACAGGGUGACAGCCCCGUACACAAAAAUGCACAUAUUGUGAGCUCGAUGAGUAGGGCGGGACACGUGGUAUCCUGUCUGAAUAUGGGGGGACCAUCCUCCAAGGCUAAAUACUCCUGACUGACCGAUAGUGAACCAGUACCGUGAGGGAAAGGCGAAAAGAACCCCGGCGAGGGGAGUGAAAAAGAACCUGAAACCGUGUACGUACAAGCAGUGGGAGCCUCUUAAUGGGGUGACUGCGUACCUUUUGUAUAAUGGGUCAGCGACUUAUAUUCUGUAGCAAGGUUAACCGAAUAGGGGAGCCGAAGGGAAACCGAGUCUUAACUGGGCGUUAAGUUGCAGGGUAUAGACCCGAAACCCGGUGAUCUAGCCAUGGGCAGGUUGAAGGUUGGGUAACACUAACUGGAGGACCGAACCGACUAAUGUUGAAAAAUUAGCGGAUGACUUGUGGCUGGGGGUGAAAGGCCAAUCAAACCGGGAGAUAGCUGGUUCUCCCCGAAAGCUAUUUAGGUAGCGCCUCGUGAAUUCAUCUCCGGGGGUAGAGCACUGUUUCGGCAAGGGGGUCAUCCCGACUUACCAACCCGAUGCAAACUGCGAAUACCGGAGAAUGUUAUCACGGGAGACACACGGCGGGUGCUAACGUCCGUCGUGAAGAGGGAAACAACCCAGACCGCCAGCUAAGGUCCCAAAGUCAUGGUUAAGUGGGAAACGAUGUGGGAAGGCCCAGACAGCCAGGAUGUUGGCUUAGAAGCAGCCAUCAUUUAAAGAAAGCGUAAUAGCUCACUGGUCGAGUCGGCCUGCGCGGAAGAUGUAACGGGGCUAAACCAUGCACCGAAGCUGCGGCAGCGACACUAUGUGUUGUUGGGUAGGGGAGCGUUCUGUAAGCCUGUGAAGGUGGCCUGUGAGGGUUGCUGGAGGUAUCAGAAGUGCGAAUGCUGACAUAAGUAACGAUAAAGCGGGUGAAAAGCCCGCUCGCCGGAAGACCAAGGGUUCCUGUCCAACGUUAAUCGGGGCAGGGUGAGUCGACCCCUAAGGCGAGGCCGAAAGGCGUAGUCGAUGGGAAACAGGUUAAUAUUCCUGUACUUGGUGUUACUGCGAAGGGGGGACGGAGAAGGCUAUGUUGGCCGGGCGACGGUUGUCCCGGUUUAAGCGUGUAGGCUGGUUUUCCAGGCAAAUCCGGAAAAUCAAGGCUGAGGCGUGAUGACGAGGCACUACGGUGCUGAAGCGACAAAUGCCCUGCUUCCAGGAAAAGCCUCUAAGCAUCAGGUAACAUCAAAUCGUACCCCAAACCGACACAGGUGGUCAGGUAGAGAAUACCAAGGCGCUUGAGAGAACUCGGGUGAAGGAACUAGGCAAAAUGGUGCCGUAACUUCGGGAGAAGGCACGCUGAUAUGUAGGUGAAGCGACUUGCUCGUGGAGCUGAAAUCAGUCGAAGAUACCAGCUGGCUGCAACUGUUUAUUAAAAACACAGCACUGUGCAAACACGAAAGUGGACGUAUACGGUGUGACGCCUGCCCGGUGCCGGAAGGUUAAUUGAUGGGGUUAGCGGUAACGCGAAGCUCUUGAUCGAAGCCCCGGUAAACGGCGGCCGUAACUAUAACGGUCCUAAGGUAGCGAAAUUCCUUGUCGGGUAAGUUCCGACCUGCACGAAUGGCGUAAUGAUGGCCAGGCUGUCUCCACCCGAGACUCAGUGAAAUUGAACUCGCUGUGAAGAUGCAGUGUACCCGCGGCAAGACGGAAAGACCCCGUGAACCUUUACUAUAGCUUGACACUGAACAUUGAGCCUUGAUGUGUAGGAUAGGUGGGAGGCUUUGAAGUGUGGACGCCAGUCUGCAUGGAGCCGACCUUGAAAUACCACCCUUUAAUGUUUGAUGUUCUAACGUGGGCCCCUUACCGGGGUUGCGGACAGUGUCUGGUGGGUAGUUUGACUGGGGCGGUCUCCUCCUAAAGAGUAACGGAGGAGCACGAAGGUUGGCUAAUCCUGGUCGGACAUCAGGAGGUUAGUGCAAUGGCAUAAGCCAGCUUGACUGCGAGCGUGACGGCGCGAGCAGGUGCGAAAGCAGGUCAUAGUGAUCCGGUGGUUCUGAAUGGAAGGGCCAUCGCUCAACGGAUAAAAGGUACUCCGGGGAUAACAGGCUGAUACCGCCCAAGAGUUCAUAUCGACGGCGGUGUUUGGCACCUCGAUGUCGGCUCAUCACAUCCUGGGGCUGAAGUAGGUCCCAAGGGUAUGGCUGUUCGCCAUUUAAAGUGGUACGCGAGCUGGGUUUAGAACGUCGUGAGACAGUUCGGUCCCUAUCUGCCGUG